GACGAACGCUGGCGGCGUGCUUAACACAUGCAAGUCGAACGGAAAGGCCCUGCUUUUGUGGGGUGCUCGAGUGGCGAACGGGUGAGUAACACGUGAGUAACCUGCCCUUGACUUUGGGAUAACUUCAGGAAACUGGGGCUAAUAACGGCUAGGAGCUCCUGCUGCAUGGUGGGGGUUGGAAAGUUUCGGCGGUUGGGGAUGGACUCGCGGCUUAUCAGCUUGUUGGUGGGGUAGUGGCUUACCAAGGCUUUGACGGGUAGCCGACCUGGGUAGGUGGCCGGCGACCAUGGGACUGAGAUACGGACCAGACUCGUACGGGAGGCAGCAGUGGGGAAUAUUGCACAAUGGGCGGACGCCUGAUGCAGAAACGCCGCGUGCGGAAUGACGGCCUUCGGGUUGUAAACCGCUUUCGCAGGUGACGACGCGUGAGUGACGGUAAUGGGUAAAGAAGCAACGGCUAACUACGUG
RNAcentral lists this ribosomal RNA (468 nucleotides) under uncultured bacterium. RNAcentral describes it as "partial 16S ribosomal RNA". It matches the Rfam family "Bacterial small subunit ribosomal RNA", at positions 28 to 507 of the family's 1533-position model. The record is from RNAcentral.